Molecule: transfer RNA, 72 nt
Filed under: Ictidomys tridecemlineatus (thirteen-lined ground squirrel)
Lineage: Eukaryota; Metazoa; Chordata; Mammalia; Rodentia; Sciuridae
Also listed under: 1 other name
Description: Spermophilus tridecemlineatus (thirteen-lined ground squirrel) tRNA
Rfam family: tRNA
About the family: Transfer RNA (tRNA) molecules are approximately 80 nucleotides in length. Their secondary structure includes four short double-helical elements and three loops (D, anti-codon, and T loops).
Source: Rfam by way of RNAcentral
GGGGUUGUGGCUCAGCGGUAGAGCACUCGCCUAGCAUGUGUGAGGCCCUGGGUUCCAUCCUCAGCACCACCU